Molecule: ribosomal RNA, 482 nt
Filed under: uncultured bacterium
Lineage: Bacteria
Description: partial 16S ribosomal RNA
Rfam family: Bacterial small subunit ribosomal RNA
Source: RNAcentral
GACGAACGCUGGCGGCGUGCUUAACACAUGCAAGUCGAGCGGAAAGGCCACUUCGGUGGUACUCGAGCGGCGAACGGGUGAGUAACACGUGAGUAAUCUGCCCCUGGCUUUGGGAUAGCCACCGGAAACGGUGAUUAAUACCGGAUACGACCACUUCUCGCAUGGGAUGGUGGUGGAAAGUUUUUUCGGCCAGGGAUGUGCUCGCGGCCUAUCAGCUUGAUGGUGAGGUAAUGGCUCACCAUGGCUUCGACGGGUAGCCGGCCUGAGAGGGUGAGCGGUCACACGGGGACUGAGACACGGCCCAGACUCCUACGGGAGGCAGCAGUGGGGAAUAUUGGACAAUGGGCGGAAGCCUGAUCCAGCAACGCCGCGUGAGGGAUGACGGCCUUCGGGUUGUAAACCUCUUUCAGCAGGGACGAAGCGCAAGUGACGGUACCUGCAGAAGAAGCACCGGCCAACUACGUGCCAGCCGCCGCCCGUAA